UGGGGAAUUUUGGACAAUGGGCGAAAGCCUGAUCCAGCAAUGCCGCGUGUGUGAAGAAGGCCUUCGGGUUGUAAAGCACUUUUGUCCGGAAAGAAAUCCUUGGCUCUAAUACAGUCGGGGGAUGACGGUACCGGAAGAAUAAGCACCGGCUAACUACGUGCCAGCAGCCGCGGUAAUACGUAGGGUGCAAGCGUUAAUCGGAAUUACUGGGCGUAAAGCGUGCGCAGGCGGUUUGCUAAGACCGAUGUGAAAUCCCCGGGCUCAACCUGGGAACUGCAUUGGUGACUGGCAGGCUAGAGUAUGGCAGAGGGGGGUAGAAUUCCACGUGUAGCAGUGAAAUGCGUAGAGAUGUGGAGGAAUACCGAUGGCGAAGGCAGCCCCCUGGCAAGUACUGACGCUCAUGCACGAAAGCGUGGGGAGCAAACGAUUAAUCCCUGGUAGUCCACGCCCUAAAANGA
This 458-nucleotide ribosomal RNA is filed under the name uncultured bacterium. Its description in RNAcentral is "partial 16S ribosomal RNA". It matches the Rfam family "Bacterial small subunit ribosomal RNA", at positions 355 to 810 of the family's 1533-position model. The record is from RNAcentral.